Molecule: ribosomal RNA, 497 nt
Filed under: uncultured bacterium
Lineage: Bacteria
Description: partial 16S ribosomal RNA
Rfam family: Bacterial small subunit ribosomal RNA
Source: RNAcentral
GACGAACGCUGGCGGCGUGCCUAAUACAUGCAAGUCGAGCGAACAGACGAGGAGUUUGCUCCUCUGACGUUAGCGGCGGACGGGUGAGUAACACGUGGAUAACCUACUUAUAAGACUGGGAACACUUCGGGAAACCGGAGAUAAUACCGGAUAAUAUACUGAACCGCAUGGUUCAAUAGAGAAAGACGGUUUUGCUGUCACUAAUAGAUGGAUCUGGGCCGCAUUAGCUAGUUGGUAAGGUAACGGCUUAUCAAGGCAACGAUGCGUAUCCGAGCGGAGAGGGUGAUCGGCCACACUGGAACUGAGACACGGUCCAGACUACUACGGGAGGCAGCAGUAGGGAAUCUUCCGCAAUGGGCGAGAGCCUGACGGAGCAACGCCGCGUGAGUGAUGAAGGUCUUCGGAUCGUAAAGCUCUGUUAUUAGGGAAGAACAAAUGUGUAAGUAACUGUGCACGUCUUGACGGUAACUAAUCAGAAAGCCACGGCUAACUACGUG